Molecule: small nuclear RNA, 142 nt
Filed under: Vulpes vulpes (red fox)
Lineage: Eukaryota; Metazoa; Chordata; Mammalia; Carnivora; Canidae
Description: U4 spliceosomal RNA (ENSVVUG00000000525.1)
Rfam family: U4 spliceosomal RNA
About the family: U4 small nuclear RNA (U4 snRNA) is a component of the major U2-dependent spliceosome. The structure of U4 snRNA from yeast and human has been reported.
Source: Rfam by way of RNAcentral
AGCUUUGUGCAGUGGCAGUAUCGUAGCCAAUGAGGUUUAUCCAAGGCACGAUUAUUGCAAAUUUAGAGGUCAGUUACGGAUUCAAGUCUACUAACUGGGACUUCCAGUUCAUUGGCUAGUUGUUUCUCCACUCUAGAAAGUG